This 433-nucleotide ribosomal RNA is filed under the name uncultured bacterium. RNAcentral's name for it is "partial 16S ribosomal RNA". It matches the Rfam family "Bacterial small subunit ribosomal RNA", at positions 29 to 507 of the family's 1533-position model. The record is from RNAcentral.
AACGAACGCUGGCGGCAUGCCUAACACAUGCAAGUCGAACGAGACCUUCGGGUCUAGUGGCGCACGGGUGCGUAACGCGUGGGAACCUGCCCUUAGGUUCGGAAUAACUCCCCGAAAGGGGUGCUAAUACCGGAUAAUGUCUUCGGACCAAAGAUUUAUCGCCUUUGGAUGGGCCCGCGUUGGAUUAGCUAGUUGGUAGGGUAAAAGCCUACCAAGGCGACGAGCCAUAGCUGGUCUGAGAGGAUGAUCAGCCACACUGGGACUGAGACACGGCCCAGACUCCUACGGGAGGCAGCAGUGGGGAAUAUUGGACAAUGGGCGAAAGCCUGAUCCAGCAAUGCCGCGUGAGUGAUGAAGGCCUUAGGGUUGUAAAGCUCUUUUAGCCGGGAUGAUAAUGACAGUACCGGGAGAAUAAGCUCCGGCUAACUCCGUG